RNAcentral lists this ribosomal RNA (301 nucleotides) under uncultured bacterium. RNAcentral's name for it is "partial 16S ribosomal RNA". It matches the Rfam family "Bacterial small subunit ribosomal RNA", at positions 509 to 807 of the family's 1533-position model. The record is from RNAcentral.
CAGUCGCCGCGGGAAUACGUAGGGUGCGAGCGUUAAUCGGAAUUACUGGGCGUAAAGCGUGCGCAGGCGGUUAUGUAAGACAGUUGUGAAAUCCCCGGGCUCAACCUGGGAACUGCAUCUGUGACUGCAUAGCUAGAGUACGGUAGAGGGGGAUGGAAUUCCGCGUGUAGCAGUGAAAUGCGUAGAUAUGCGGAGGAACACCGAUGGCGAAGGCAAUCCCCUGGACCUGUACUGACGCUCAUGCACGAAAGCGUGGGGAGCAAACAGGAUUAGAUACCCCUGUAGUCCCUGUCUCUUAUAC